AUUACCCCUGAGAUGUUGCAGGUGUGGCUGUGUGUCACAUGUCUUUGGGUAGGUGGCAGAGAGGAGAAAGGUUAUAUCUACUCUCAGUGUUCAGACCUGUGAACAUCUGAAAGAAUAGUAGCCUAAUAUU
This is a small nucleolar RNA of Acomys russatus (golden spiny mouse), 130 nucleotides long. RefSeq annotates it as small nucleolar RNA SNORA17. Lineage: Eukaryota; Metazoa; Chordata; Mammalia; Rodentia; Muridae. The record is from RefSeq and is a predicted model, not a curated record. The transcript has a single exon.